This 1066-nucleotide unclassified non-coding RNA is filed under the name Hevea brasiliensis (rubber tree). Lineage: Eukaryota; Viridiplantae; Streptophyta; Magnoliopsida; Malpighiales; Euphorbiaceae. The record is from RNAcentral.
GUAAAUUUAAAAAACAAUUAAAAACCAAGAAAUUGAACCUUAAUUCAAGACUGUCUAAGGAUAACAUUGAAAUUGAAGAUAGGUUAUGUUGACAUCUAUGAUUACCUUUCUUGGCUAGAGGUUUCAAAUAUGGUAGUCAAGAAGUGAGAUGCUAGGUGGUGAGGACUGUGGCAACUAGGAAAGUAGAAUGUGGCAAAGCAACGAAUCGUUGAGACAGCAAGGCAAUGAACGAAUCGGUGAAAUGACGAGGCAGUGAGAUAUGAUAUGUGGCUAUGUUGGCGAGGUAGGGCAACGAGAGGUGAGCUUCCAUUGUGAGUUUGAGACUGGUGGAAGGUGAGGUUGUGUGAUACAAUUUUCAUCUUCAAAUGAAGCUGAAGUGGAUUGGGGAUUGUUGGGUUGUGACAAGAGGGUUGGGCUUGUUGUAUUUGCAACAAGGAAGGGAGGCUUUUUGCUUGUUGGAAUGAGGAUGGGUGGGUUUACAAGUUCUUGACAAGAAAGUCUGGGUUCUGGCAACCAUAGGGUGAGUGAAGCGGGUGAGGAAGAAACAGUCCACCUUUGGGUGAGUGAUGCGGGUGAGGAAGAAACAUCUUAUACAUGGCUCUAUUUUUCUCUCUUGAACAGAAGAUGGAGAUAGAAAGAAAAAACCAAGGAGAGGGAGACAUUGGAGAGUGGGGAGGGGAAACAGGUAGGAUAAUUUAGGGAUUUAAAUUUUAUUUUCGGGGUUGACUUAAAUAUUAAGCUUUGACUAAUAGAAAUUUGUGUCCAAUUUGGAUGGAAUGACCAUUCUGUUGGCAGAAUAAAAUAAUAUUUUGCUGAUGUAAUCUGGACUAUAUUGUUUCAAAUUACGCAACUCCAGAAUAAUUUAAUUAAUGUGGACUAAGACUAUUUUUCCUUAUGAAGAACAUAUUAUUAAAAUAUCAAGGUAAGUGCACUAAAUACAACCAAUCUUGCAUUGCAGAUUAAAAGGCUUGCUUAAUAACUUCAAGGAUAGUUGCCUCUCGGUUCAUCCAACACUAAAUCUCUUCAUAUCAUGAGUAAUUUAUAAAUGGAGAAUUACUUCAAGGAC